This 3831-nucleotide unclassified non-coding RNA is filed under the name Pectinophora gossypiella (pink bollworm). RNAcentral's name for it is "charged multivesicular body protein 7". The stretch from base 3741 to 3812 matches the Rfam family "tRNA". The record is from RNAcentral. Lineage: Eukaryota; Metazoa; Arthropoda; Insecta; Lepidoptera; Gelechiidae.
GGCGUGUCAAAAAGUAAAAACCUUGCGACUGUGCAUGCAUUGUGCAAUUUCUUGAUAAUAAAUCACUUCAAAACAAGAGAAACGACAACAAAUAUCGCCCGGAGUAGUUUUUGCCGCCCAAAAUGGGUUUACCAUACAACGCGAUACCGGAGGAUACGCUGCCACAGUGUUGGUCCGACGAUGUUCGUAUGAACGCCCUUUUCGCACCUUUUCGGAUAAAAUCAGCGAACCCAGAGUCAUGGGAUAUGAAGAUGAAGUUCUGGUCUGACAUGCUGAGGCAGUGGUGCAAGUAUAAAAGGGACCCUAUAGUGUCUGCGAGCGACGCUAAAUUCGCGUUUCAACGAAAAGGUCGCACGCCCGCUUGCAUCGAUAUUGUCGUCGAGGAGUUGUUUCGCAACGGUGAACUAUCCCCAAUAUCGAAGUAUCAGCAGAUACUCCACAACCCUGCUGAGGGCUGGGUACGUUGGACGGCCCGCCUGGCUUUCAAGCCGGCCGCACUAGCUCUCACUGCUGUGACGUCAUUGCUGCCUGCCACACAAAGUCUUGAUAGCGACGGGCUGCCUAAAGCCAGCAUUGAUUCUACGAGUAGAUUUGUGCUUGAGAGCGCUGUGCAGGAACAAGCAACACAAAUGCUAGAGAACUACCCACUGGGCGUGGAGCGUGUCGGCACCAUUGAGGAGUUGAUGAGGAAUUGCAACUGGCAGCAAAGUAGGGAGACCUUCGAAAUACUGGUCGGCUGGUUGGUAGCCACCGGAGCUGCCACCAAGAAGGGCGAUGUUGUUAAACUUGCGGAACCAAACAAGAAAGUGUCGCCGGUAACGGAGACAGACGAGGCUUUGGUGAAGCUGGUGUCAGCCGAGUCGAGGCUGUGCGGCGACGCGGCGCGGCUGUCGCGAGAGGUCGCCAGCUGCGAGGCGGAGGCCAGGGCCGCCCUCACACUCGGGAACAGGAUUGCGGCGAAGAACCAUCUCCGCCGGAAACACAGGGCGCAACAGAAGUUGGAACAGUGCGAGGGCGCGCUCGAGAACGUGCAGCAGCUGCUGCAUCAGAUACGAGACGUGGACACCAACGCUGCCAUCGUCAACACUUACAAGACGACAUCAGAAGCCAUGAAGCGGGGUAUGAAGGAAGGUGGUCUCGACGAAGAUGCUGUCCACGACACCAUGGAUGACCUUAACGAUGUAAUGGAGUCCUACAAAGAAGUGGAGAGGGCACUCAGCACGACCACAGAUGACCUGGACGCGGCGGAGCUGGAGGCCGAGCUGAGGGAACUGAUGUCACCCGGAGCCCCAGGAGGAGGGGGGGCGCCGGCUAAGGAGACCACGCCACGGAAGGCCCAAGAACCGUCGCCACUCCUGCCGACGCCGCCGAAGCAUCAACCCCGCAAGGUGUCGGAGCGUGAUGACUUCGUGUUCGACGGGGAAGCACGCGUGAUAGCGGAACUGAACGAGCUCAGUGUGGGGGACGCGCAGGGCGGCUCGGGGGGCAGGGGGCUCGAUAAGCGGGGGAGGAAGAAGAUAGCCGUCACCGAACAAUGGGUUGAUGCAGAAAAACCUGAGCCGAAGACUCCGAAACCAUCGAAGUCGUGGUACCCUCCUACGAAGGAGUGUCUGCAACCAGAGACUUGGAACAACAAUGACUUCGGAGAACUCAGGCAGGACGAGCGGUUACACCCCGGCCAACCGCUGAACGUGGACUUCACGACGCCGCCGCGGCUCUACAGCAGCGAUUUCCAGGUGCGCGACCACAAGCCCUGCGCCGGCGUGUGGCUUUACAGCACCCGCGACAACAACAGCAACGUCGACGACCUCGCCGCCAGCACAGAGUACUUCAGCUCGGAGAGCCCGGGCAAGUCAGGCGGCAGCUUCCAGAUGGCGCCCGGCGGCGAGCGCAAGGCGUCCGCCGCGUGGAACGCCGACGGAGACGCGCCCGUCGACGACCUGGAGCGGCGCCUGCGCAACCUGCGCGGAUUCAACUUAUAAUACCCGCACGGGUAACAUAGGUUAUGCUAAGUACGUAGGAAACUAGGUUAGGUUCAAAAUUGGUCCUUAUUCCGGCGACACAAAGAUUAUCUUAGUUUGUUAGUUGUAAACUAGAGCUGUCUUUCACUUAUAAGUGAUAUUAAGUGGCGGAUUGAGACUUUCCGAGGUCUUCUGUUGCUUGAAUUUGGAAGAUAGGAAUCCUUACUAAUGUUAUAAAUGUGAAAGUGUGUUUGUUAUUUCUCGUCUGUUGAACAAAUUUGUUAUAGUUCGGUUUGAGUAUACAACCUGGGUAUCUACCCAGGUUCUAUCUAGAAAACAAAGAUCUUUGUAAAAGUAUAUUAUGAACCUUAUGAUGAUAAGGGAUCAGCCUUUCGCCCAUAACAUAGUUCAUCAUGUUAGAGGACACAAUCCCUGUGUUGGAUUUUGUUGGCCGCCAAAGAAAAAAAAAUAUAAAUGCGCAACAGGCGCCUUACUGUCACAAUAUGUGAAAGACAGAUAGAGCUAGUUUUCGAACACAAACUAAGUUAGGGGCCGUCCAUUAAUCAUGUGAUGUUUUUUUUGGCAUUUUAAACCCCCCCCCCACCCCCUUGGUGAUACAUGGUGAGGUUCAAGACUACCCCCCACCCUAUCCGAUAUCACGCGUGUAUUUUUUAGUACCUACCAAAAUAAUUGCACGAAACGCCGCUUUUCGGUUCAGUAUCGCGCGUUUGCCGAAAAAUAAAUACAUAAACAGCCUAUAUACGUCCCACUGCUGGGCACAGGCCUCCCCUCAAUCAACCGGAGGGGAUAUGGAGCAUACUGCACCACGCUGCUCCAAUGCGGGUUGGUGGAGGUGUUUUUACGGCUAAUAGCCGGGACCAACGGCUUAACGUGCCCUCCGAAGCACGGAAUCAUCUUACUUUUUCGCACAAUCAGGUGAUUCAAGCCUGAAAAGUCCUUACCAAACAAAGGACAGUCUCACAAAGUGAUUUCGACAAUGUCCCCAUCGGGAAUCGAACCCGGACCUCCAGAUCGUGAGCCUAACGCUCUAACCACUAGACCACGGAGGCUGUCAAUGUCGAAAAAUAAAUACUCGUGAUAUAUUACUACACCCCCCCUCCCCCUUAUGAUAUUUCGUGAUUUUUUUGAUGGACUCUUCCCCCCCUCUCGAGCCUCGCAUGAUUAAUGGACGGCCCCUUAGAAUUAUGUCGGCCGGAAUAGGCGCCAUUAUGUGAUAUUGCCGGACAUAGAUGGCGGAGAUGCUGAUAAUGUUCUAUCUUAAGACGCACAGGAUUGCGAGAGAGGAUAUCGUCACUACAUACAUACGUGCACGCCCGUAGUUCCUAAUAGAGUGGGCAGAGUAACAAGUAAUCAGAUACAAUGUUUUAAGUUUACGCGGUAAUUAUCAUAAUUAAAACACAAGCGGCAAAGAAAGAGGGUAGACAGAUAUGUUUGCCUGUAGAAAAUUAUGGAUCUAACUACUCCACUCCAAUCUCAUCAGUCAUCCCGUGAUCAUGGCACUUGCAACAGUGUCGAAACACCGGGAGUCUGAUAUCCCUGCUUUAAACGCGGUAAGAUCCCGUUAUUAUGUGUUUUAAUUAAUCAGAUACAACUUAUACGAUGAAUCUAAAAACACAUCACAAGUUUUAUCUUAUACUACGUAUAGGACAGUAACAAUUCGCCCCACACCAAUUCGUAAGCGCCGACCUCACCCCCUCUGGGUCUUACUUUAGUCUUAAAUGGUUGGAACCAACAGCCUCCGUGGUGUGGUGGUUAACAGCCUCCGUGGUCUAGUGGUUAGAGCGUUAGGCUCACGAUCUGGAGGUCCGGGUUCGAUUCCCGAUGGGGACAUUGUCGAAAUCACUUUGUG